Molecule: RNA transcript, 1214 nt
Organism: Apodemus sylvaticus (European woodmouse)
Lineage: Eukaryota; Metazoa; Chordata; Mammalia; Rodentia; Muridae
Gene name: cytoplasmic protein NCK2-like
Exons: 5
Source: RefSeq, a predicted model, not a curated record
CACAGGUUCUACUCCUACAGUGUCAUCCCAGCUGGCUUAAGAGCUUGGAGGAUCACUGUAGCUCUGUCACAUUUAAGGUGUCCUCAGACAGCAGAAAACAUCAUCUUUUUGAAGAGUGCUACAAUUUUUCCAGUCACCUCUUAUAACUGCAUGCCAAAGAAGGACUCCAUGAAAGAUGACAGAAGAAGCCAUUGUCAUAGCCAAGUGGGACUACACUGCCCAGCAGGACCAGGAGCUCGACAUCAGGAAGAGUGAGCGGUUGUGGCUGCUGGAUGACUCCAAGACUUGGUGGCGGGUGAGAAAUGCAGCCAACAGGACAGGCUAUGUGCCUUCCAACUGCGUGGAGCGUAAGAACAGCCUGAAGAAGGGCUCCCUGGUGAAGAAUCUCAAGGACACGCUAGGGGAUUGAGGGUUUUAAUCCCUUCUGCUAUCCUGGACCGCAUUACAUAGACCAUGCUGGUGUCCGGCUCAACGACAUACACCUGCUGGAAACCCUGUGAUUAAAGACAUGAGGAAAUACACCCAGCUUGCCGAGCAUUUUUAUAUAUCAUGCUUUGGGUUGUACACUGCUUUAGGGAGCAGUGACUUUUGAUGAUGCGCAAGUGAACUUCACUGAGGAAGAGUGGGAAUCGUUGGAUCCAUCCCAGAAGAAUCUCUACAAAAAUGUGAUGUUGGCGACCUUCCUGAACCUCAACGCUCUAGGCUCUAAUUGGGAAGACCAUGAUAUUGAAGAACAUUUUGAAAAUUCUAGAAGAUUUAAAAGGUAAUUUUCUUGUGCCAGCUGAUACAAAUAUAUCUCUGAGGAAAUUUUAAUGUGUUCUUAAAACUCUAAAGAAAAGCAAGAGGGUAAAAUAUCUGUCCUUUAAGUGUAGCUAUGAUUAAAAUUGUCUAACAAAACCAUGGACCUCAAAAUCAGUUAUCAGAGUUGUGUAUCCAUUUGCUGUGUAGCUCCAUUAGAGCCAUGCUGUGGAACUGCUAAUCUGUACAGUCUCAAAUUACUUAGAUAUCAUAUUGACAUUGAAUAGUAAUAAAUAUAUAUCAAAAACCUUCUAAUAAGCAAAAAGUCCAUGAUAAAGUUGGUGAUGCUAAUAUUCUUGUAGGGGCAUUUUUAAAUUUGUUGAGAGCGCAGUUUAUGAGACUCAAGAAUGUUGUUUUGGAUAAAUAUUAAUCUAUAUACUACAUGUUAUAAGAAAUAAAAAUUCAAAAAGAGUGAA